This 1673-nucleotide small RNA is filed under the name Pongo abelii (Sumatran orangutan). Its description in RNAcentral is "retained intron". The stretch from base 1054 to 1188 matches the Rfam family "Small nucleolar RNA SNORA70". The record is from RNAcentral. Lineage: Eukaryota; Metazoa; Chordata; Mammalia; Primates; Hominidae.
CCGCUUCGGUCGCUCCUCAAAUAUACGUCUGUCACAGUUAACGGCAAAGCCUAGGGCAAGAGUUCUACGCCCAAGAUGGCCAGCCGGAAGCGGACUUCUCGCGACCAUGUGGCGAAGCCCCAUUCGUCAGCUGGCCGCCCGCGGCCCUGGUACCCGGUCACCUCUCUGAUCUGCGCAUGUGCUGGGCUACGCCCGGGCGCAAGCGCCAAGAGCGGCUGCGUCUAUGGUCAUGACGUCUGACAGAGCGUCCACCCGUCUUCGCCAGGACUCUAUGGUUCUUACGCGCGCAGACAGACCGCCUAUAUAAGCCAUGCGCAGGCGGAGGAGCGCCUCUUUCCCUUCGGUGUGCCACUGAAGAUCCUGGUGUCGCCAUGGGCCGCCGCCCCGCCCGUUGUUACCGAUAUUGUAAGAACAAGCCGUACCCAAAGUCUCGCUUCUGCCGAGGUGUCCCUGAUGCCAAGAUUCGCAUUUUUGACCUGGGGCGGAAGAAGGCAAAAGUGGAUGAGUUUCCGCUCUGUGGCCACAUGGUAUCAGAUGAAUAUGAGCAGCUGUCCUCUGAAGCCCUGGAGGCUGCCCGAAUUUGUGCCAAUAAGUACAUGGUAAAAAGUUGUGGCAAAGAUGGCUUCCAUAUCCGGGUGAGGCUCCACCCCUUCCACGUCAUCCGCAUCAACAAGAUGUUGUCCUGUGCUGGGGCUGACAGGUGAGCUUGGUCUGGGCUUUUUAAGGCAGUUGGAGUCUCUACAUUAUUAGGCUUGCAUUAUUGCAUCAGAGCAUAGAGGUGGCCCCAGUGACUCAGCCACUAUGGCUACUAGAAAAGCCAGGCUGGCAAGUGACUUUCAGUGGUCACUCAGGACCCUUUCCUGUGGACUGUUGCGGAUACAAAGCAAGCAUGAGUAAGUCUUAGCAAGCUCUUCCCCACAGGUUAGGGCAAACACUUGUGAUUGGAGUAGCUCUUCUUGCUUUUAGCUUGAUGACAACCAUCUUGCCAGCAAGCAGGUAGUUGAAGCUGGCAGAGGAGCUCAGUGUCGCCUUUUCAAUGGUUCUUGGGAUGCUCUGCAGCCAAUUAAGCCGACUGAGUUCCUUUCCUCAUGGGGGCCCAGUGUGCAAUGGCUGCACACAGCAGCUUCCUUGGUAGUGUACGCAGCCUGUUGGUUGUAUGGGUUGCUCUAAGGGACCUUGGAGACAGGCCUUUCCGAUGGAUGUUCAUGUUUCUGACCUUGCACUACCCCAAUGUAGGCUCCAAACAGGCAUGCGAGGUGCCUUUGGAAAGCCCCAGGGCACUGUGGCCAGGGUUCACAUUGGCCAAGUUAUCAUGUCCAUCCGCACCAAGCUGCAGAACAAGGAGCAUGUGAUUGAGGCUCUGCGCAGGGCCAAGUUCAAGUUUCCUGGCCGCCAGAAGGUACGUAGUGCUGCAGCCCCCUUCUCCCACCUUUUUUGCCUCAGGCCUCCUGACUCAAUUCUUUCCAUUGCUCCCUAGAUCCACAUCUCAAAGAAGUGGGGCUUCACCAAGUUCAAUGCUGAUGAAUUUGAAGACAUGGUGGCUGAGAAGCGGCUCAUCCCAGAUGGCUGUGGGGUCAAGUACAUCCCCAAUCGUGGCCCUCUGGACAAGUGGCGGGCCCUGCACUCAUGAGGGCUUCCAAUGUGCUGCCCCCCUCUUAAUACUCACCAAUAAA